GGGCCUGUAGCUCAGUGGUAGAGCACUGCUAUGGCAUGGCAGGGGUCAGGGGUUCAAAUCCCCUCAGGUCCA
Molecule: transfer RNA, 72 nt
Filed under: Pseudomonadota bacterium
Lineage: Bacteria; Pseudomonadati; Pseudomonadota
Also listed under: 1 other name
Description: tRNA-Ala
Rfam family: tRNA
About the family: Transfer RNA (tRNA) molecules are approximately 80 nucleotides in length. Their secondary structure includes four short double-helical elements and three loops (D, anti-codon, and T loops). Further hydrogen bonds mediate the characteristic L-shaped molecular structure. tRNAs have two regions of fundamental functional importance: the anti-codon, which is responsible for specific mRNA codon recognition, and the 3' end, to which the tRNAs corresponding amino acid is attached (by aminoacyl-tRNA synthetases). tRNAs cope with the degeneracy of the genetic code in two manners: having more than one tRNA (with a specific anti-codon) for a particular amino acid; and 'wobble' base-pairing, i.e. permitting non-standard base-pairing at the 3rd anti-codon position.
Source: RNAcentral